UCCCCGUUAUCCUGGGCAGUCUCUCCAGAGUGCUCGGCAUGACCCGAUGCAACGCGAAGAACCUUACCUGGCCUUGACAUGCAUGUGGUAGAACCAUGAAAGUGGGACGACCCCGCAAGGGGAGCAUGCACAGGUGCUGCAUGGCUGUCGUCAGCUCGUGUCGUGAGAUGUUGGGUUAAGUCCCGCAACGAGCGCAACCCUUGUGUCCUGUUGCCACUCCCUCGAGAGAGGGAAGCACUCUGGACAGACUGCCUCGCUUAAACGAGGAGGAAGGUGGGGAUGACGUCGGAGGAAUUCCA
Molecule: unclassified non-coding RNA, 299 nt
Filed under: uncultured Verrucomicrobiae bacterium
Lineage: Bacteria; Pseudomonadati; Verrucomicrobiota; Verrucomicrobiia
Description: contains 16S-23S intergenic spacer region
Rfam family: Bacterial small subunit ribosomal RNA
Source: RNAcentral